GUAGGUAUAGCUCAGUGGUAGAGUGCCUGAGUGCUCAGCAUGCACAAGGUCCUGGGUUCAAUCCCCAGUACCUCCG
This 76-nucleotide transfer RNA is filed under the name Camelus bactrianus (Bactrian camel). It matches the Rfam family "tRNA". From Rfam's summary of the family: Transfer RNA (tRNA) molecules are approximately 80 nucleotides in length. Their secondary structure includes four short double-helical elements and three loops (D, anti-codon, and T loops). The record is from Rfam by way of RNAcentral. Lineage: Eukaryota; Metazoa; Chordata; Mammalia; Artiodactyla; Camelidae. RNAcentral also lists the same sequence under 2 other names.